Molecule: ribosomal RNA, 646 nt
Filed under: uncultured bacterium
Lineage: Bacteria
Description: bacterial SSU rRNA
Rfam family: Bacterial small subunit ribosomal RNA
Source: RNAcentral
UCAGAUUGAACGCUGGCGGCAGGCCUAACACAUGCAAGUCGAGCGGUAACAUUUCUAAGCUUGCUUAGAAGAUGACGAGCGGCGGACGGGUGAGUAAUGCUUGGGGAUCUGCCUGAUGGCGGGGGACAACCACUGGAAACGGUGGCUAAUACCGCAUAAUACCUAUGGGUCAAAGUGUGGGACCUUCGGGCCACACGCCAUCAGAUGAACCCAAGUGAGAUUAGCUGGUUGGUAAGGUAACGGCUUACCAAGGCGACGAUCUCUAGCUGGUCUGAGAGGAUGAUCAGCCACACUGGGACUGAGACACGGCCCAGACUCCUACGGGAGGCAGCAGUGGGGAAUAUUGGACAAUGGGGGCAACCCUGAUCCAGCCAUGCCGCGUGUGUGAAGAAGGCCUUCGGGUUGUAAAGCACUUUCAGUGGUGAGGAAGGUGGUGUCGUUAAUAGCGGCAUCAAUUGACGUUAGCCACAGAAGAAGCACCGGCUAACUCCGUGCCAGCAGCCGCGGUAAUACGGAGGGUGCGAGCGUUAAUCGGAAUUACUGGGCGUAAAGCGCACGUAGGCGGUAUGUUAAGCAAGAUGUGAAAGCCCAGAGCUCAACUCUGGAAUAGCAUUUUGAACUGGCAUGCUAGAGUUUUGGAGAGGGU